UGCUCACUUCGGCAAUAUCCUAACCCUGAAAUAACAUAGAGAAGAUUAACAUGGCUCCUGUGCAAAGAUGACAUGCAAAUUCGUGAAGCAUCCCAUAUGUUU
Small nuclear RNA from Chlorocebus sabaeus (green monkey), 102 nucleotides. NCBI's taxonomy places the organism in Eukaryota, Metazoa, Chordata, Mammalia, Primates, Cercopithecidae. The record is from RefSeq and is a predicted model, not a curated record.